CCUUGACUGUCAAUUGGACAACCUGUCCUGUUACGUCCUGGUUUGUUUAACUCAGUGGAGCUAAACUCAAGAUGCAGCAAAUGCCUAGAGUACUUGCCUUACAAAGACUUCUAAUUGAGCUGCAUUGGGAAGUCUGUGAUUGGACAGACACAUUAAGUCUGGGCAGGGCUAGAAGGGGAGGUCUUACAAAGGCUACAGACAU
Pelobates cultripes (western spadefoot toad) is the source of this 202-nucleotide non-coding RNA. Lineage: Eukaryota; Metazoa; Chordata; Amphibia; Anura; Pelobatidae. The record is from the annotation of a GenBank genome assembly.